Molecule: ribosomal RNA, 503 nt
Filed under: uncultured Actinomycetes bacterium
Lineage: Bacteria; Bacillati; Actinomycetota; Actinomycetes
Description: bacterial SSU rRNA
Rfam family: Bacterial small subunit ribosomal RNA
Source: RNAcentral
CCUGAUGCAGCGACGCCGCGUGAGGGACGACGGCCUUCGGGUUGUAAACCUCUUUCAGCAGGGACGAAGCGCAAGUGACGGUACCUGCAGAAGAAGCACCGGCUAACUACGUGCCAGCAGCCGCGGUAAUACGUAGGGUGCAAGCGUUGUCCGGAAUUACUGGGCGUAAAGAGUUCGUAGGCGGUUUGUCACGUCGUUUGUGAAAACUCACAGCUCAACUGUGAGCCUGCAGGCGAUACGGGCAGACUUGAGUACUGCAGGGGAGACUGGAAUUCCUGGUGUAGCGGUGAAAUGCGCAGAUAUCAGGAGGAACACCGGUGGCGAAGGCGGGUCUCUGGGCAGUAACUGACGCUGAGGAACGAAAGCGUGGGUAGCGAACAGGAUUAGAUACCCUGGUAGUCCACGCCGUAAACGGUGGGCGCUAGGUGUGGGUUCCUUCCACGGAAUCCGUGCCGUAGCUAACGCAUUAAGCGCCCCGCCUGGGGAGUACGGCCGCAAGGCUA